Long non-coding RNA from Nanorana parkeri, 135 nucleotides. RefSeq lists it as uncharacterized. The transcript has 2 exons. Lineage: Eukaryota; Metazoa; Chordata; Amphibia; Anura; Dicroglossidae. The record is from RefSeq and is a predicted model, not a curated record.
AAGGAGAAAUCCAGAUCUAAGAAAAGGAAGAAAAGAUCCUAUUCAUCGAGUGAUUCAGAGGACAGUCCCAAAGCAAAGAAAAGUAAAAGCCACAGGAAAGAAAAGAAACAGAGAAAAGAAAAACAUCCCAAGAAA